GAUGAACGCUGGCGGCGUGCCUAAUACAUGCAAGUCGAGCGAACGGACGAGAAGCUUGCUUCUCUGAUGUUAGCGGCGGACGGGUGAGUAACACGUGGAUAACCUACCUAUAAGACUGGGAUAACUUCGGGAAACCGGAGCUAAUACCGGAUAAUAUUUUGAACCGCAUGGUUCAAAAGUGAAAGACGGUCUUGCUGUCACUUAUAGAUGGAUCCGCGCUGCAUUAGCUAGUUGGUAAGGUAACGGCUUACCAAGGCAACGAUGCAUAGCCGACCUGAGAGGGUGAUCGGCCACACUGGAACUGAGACACGGUCCAGACUCCUACGGGAGGCAGCAGUAGGGAAUCUUCCGCAAUGGGCGAAAGCCUGACGGAGCAACGCCGCGUGAGUGAUGAAGGUCUUCGGAUCGUAAAACUCUGUUAUUAGGGAAGAACAUAUGUGUAAGUAACUGUGCACAUCUUGACGGUACCUAAUCAGAAAGCCGCGGCUAACUACGCGCCAGCAGCCGCGGUAAUACGUAGGUGGCAAGCGUUAUCCGGAAUUAUUGGGCGUAAAGCGCGCGUAGGCGGUUUUUUAAGUCUGAUGUGAAAGCCCACGGCUCAACCGUGGAGGGUCAUUGGAAACUGGAAAACUUGAGUGCAGAAGAGGAAAGUGGAAUUCCAUGUGUAGCGGUGAAAUGCGCAGAGAUAUGGAGGAACACCAGUGGCGAAGGCGACUUUCUGGUCUGUAACUGACGCUGAUGUGCGAAAGCGUGGGGAUCAAACAGGAUUAGAUACCCUGGUAGUCCACGCCGUAAACGAUGAGUGCUAAGUGUUAGGGGGUUUCCGCCCCUUAGUGCUGCAGCUAACGCAUUAAGCACUCCGCCUGGGGAGUACGACCGCAAGGUUGAAACUCAAAGGAAUUGACGGGGACCCGCACAAGCGGUGGAGCAUGUGGUUUAAUUCGAAGCAACGCGAAGAACCUUACCAAAUCUUGACAUCCUUUGACAACUCUAGAGAUAGAGCCUUCCCCUUCGGGGGACAAAGUGACAGGUGGUGCAUGGUUGUCGUCAGCUCGUGUCGUGAGAUGUUGGGUUAAGUCCCGCAACGAGCGCAACCCUUAAGCUUAGUUGCCAUCAUUAAGUUGGGCACUCUAAGUUGACUGCCGGUGACAAACCGGAGGAAGGUGGGGAUGACGUCAAAUCAUCGUGCCCCUUAUGAUUUGGGCUACACACGUGCUACAAUGGACAAUACAAAGGGCAGCGAAACCGCGAGGUCAAGCAAAUCCCAUAAAGUUGUUCUCAGUUCGGAUUGUAGUCUGCAACUCGACUACAUGAAGCUGGAAUCGCUAGUAAUCGUAGAUCAGCAUGCUACGGUGAAUACGUUCCCGGGUCU
Molecule: ribosomal RNA, 1372 nt
Filed under: uncultured bacterium
Lineage: Bacteria
Description: bacterial SSU rRNA
Rfam family: Bacterial small subunit ribosomal RNA
Source: RNAcentral